CAGCAGCAGCAGCAGCAGCAGCAGCAGCAGCAGCAGCAGCAGCAGCAGCAGCAGCAGCAGCAGCAGCAGCAGCAGCAGCAGCAGCAGCAGCAGCAGCAGCAGCAGCAGCAGCAGCAGCAGCAGCCGCCACCGGAGAUGGGACGAGGAACAAGAGAGGGGGAGCAAGUGGAAAAAUCAUUAUCUGAGCUCUGAAGGCUGUUUCAGGUGUGUGCUGCCAGAGGCUGUGACAGGUGUGGCGCAUCAGUAAUCAGCAGAUUGAGUGCAGGUGGAAGCCAGCGAAUUACGGACUCCGGCUCUCCCAUAAAACCCGACGCCACUCGUCGUUAGAUGCUGGACCGUCCUCAAUUCUCCAAUUCAGAGAGACUGCAUUUUGAAAUGAGCCAACUCUUCCCCCUGGGUUCUAAUGUCGGAAGGCCUGAGGUUGUUCUCUCAGCCCACCUGAGUCCGGCUAAGCAAUGGGAGUCACUGCAGGCCUGUUGCCGGGUAGAAGCACAUCUCCACCCCUCCCUGUGAUUGGCCGAUGUGGUCGUGGUAACCCCUCCUCCUGGAACACUGUUGUCUUCUCUGAGCACAGCCAUCUGUCACAAACAAGCGAUGGAAAGCAGCCUAACAACUGUUCUGAGGCCAGGUAUUUGCGAUGUGUUGGCUGCUAAAGUUAGAGAACACAGGGUUAGGUAAUCAGAUCCAGCAUCUGUCAGAGAACGACACGACAUGAGUCACAUCCAACGGUUUCAAUGGGUGACUUUGUUUUGAAAAAGAAAUGUCUUCACCUUCUCUUGCCACCAGUGUUCAAAGUUAUCUUCACUUUGUCACCACAGAGCAGAUAUUUGUUUAUAGCAUCAGUCAGUUUGACCCCCACAGUGAAAAGCAGGGAGAGCGCACGGUGCUGUUAGUGAAGUUAAUCAUCCACGGCCUUUUAAAUAUCUUUCAGUAUGUUUGUUUUUCUGUUGCUCCCUCCAGGGUCAGACAGAGAAAAGGCAUCAUCUAUCCACUGCUUCUCAGCCUCAUGUGGAGCAAAACAUAUCAAACUGACAAAAAAAAAUGAGUAUAAAAGUAUAAAGAUAACAGUCAAAAGUAAUAUUUAUCAUGCAGACAAUAAAUACACACACUCACCCAGUCACUUUAUUGCAAUAAAUUACAUAAAUUAUAAAUUAUAUUUUUAUGAAGUUUCAGCAUCUUUGUUUUAUUUUAAAGUUGCCAAUUCUACUUUAGUUGAGUUAAAAGUUAAUAUUUUUCCCCUCUAUGAUAUGUUUUGUAGAGUACAUUGUGUCACUGGAUACUAAUACUUACUGUUGUAAUUUUGUCAAAGUGAAUUUUAGGUGCUUUACAUGCAACCUGGUUCAAAUUUAAUAAAAUCUCUCAAUUAUAAGAGGUCCUAAUAUGGUUUUCAUGUGAAAUCUUCACCUAAACUGUAGUAACUAAUUGUCAAAUAUAGUUUGGGAAAAAAAGUGUAGCAUUUAGAAAAAAAUAUGUAUUAGCAGAAAAAAAUUAAACAAAUUACAAGUACGAGAAAUCAAAUGCAGCACUUAAGGAGAUGCACUGGCCAAACAGAAUCAAAAAUGUUCCUAAUUUCAGGGUGUAAACACGUUUAUUUCUGCUGUAAAGUUGAACAGUUUAAUAUAGAUUUACUGGCUUUUGGAGGUAGCCCCAUGUGGCCAAUCGAGGAACUGCAUGUUGAUGAAACGUUUAAUUUUUUUUAGCGUCAGAGGCUGUCACUUGAUCAAAUAUCAAGUUUAUUUAUUUAUUUUUUUACAUAAUAUCCAAAAUGAUAUACACUUACAAUUAGUUACUCUUAGAACUAGUGUUGCAUCAUUUUAAAUUAACAAUCGAUCAUUUCUAUUGUAUGUGGAAGUGGUUCCUGCAUGAAGAACCCACAGAGAAUUUUAACCUGACUCUUUCCUCCUUUUGCUAUUUUAUACUCUUCUGCAACUUCAUGUCCUAAUUUAAUUAAAUUUACAUCCUCAUGUUUUAGGAGCCGUAGGGAACUGCUUGAAGCAACAAAGCUCUAAAAAGCUCUGAAAAAGUGCAGCAACAAACAGCAGCAGAGAAAAUUAGCGACUAGCCAGAGAACAUCAAGGAGCAUUUACCAGCUGCACACAUUUUCCUGAGGGAUUGGUAAAAACAGAACUAAAAACACAGUCAAUAUAUUGAAGUUUCCUCAGGUCAGAAAAAAGCCAUGACUUAUUCUGCUGUGUCCAGAAACCAUUAGUUAUUGUAAGUUUAAAAAUAGAAUGACAGAUUUUAUAUAUUCCUUAUUUACGAGGAAUAUAGACAUAUUCUAAAAUAACUUCACAUAAUUUUAUGCUGCUGAUUCUAGUUAAUAUUCUGCUGCCAUUUAUUAUUAAGCCUUUAGGUUUUCUAAGGGAAAAGCACAUGUGUAACUAACAGUAUAAAUGAUGAUUAUGUUCCAUUCAGCGGUGCCAGUGAGCUCUGUCAUGACCCGGCGUGUACUACAGCGCUCAGGCACACCUAAUCGGAAUGCAGUUGUUACUGAUGGUAUUAGUUACACUGGUGUUUGACAGCUCAAAAUGUCUAUCAGAGGUCUGGAAGGGUGCUUCGCUGCUUAGCAUCACCAGUACGAGGCUGCACGAACCGGGAGGCAAUCAAGUGUGAGACUGAAUAAUGUAAUCCUCCCUCAGACUGCACCAACUCCUUCUUCUAAUUUCUGUGAAAAGAGGUGAUGUUCCUGGUUCUGUCCUUUUCACACUUUAUGCCAUCUGGCACUCUGUCACAAUAUGUAACCUUAAAUACUCUUUUUAUCAUCCUAAUGCCUCACCUUCUGCAACGUAAUUAGAUGCCAUGAGUAUUCUGGUGAUCUAUUUGUUGUAUCGGCGCAAAAUCAGAGGCUUUGUGUUGAUGCUGUCCUGAUUUCGAAUCUCCAAAUCAGGGUUACAUCAUGUGUAACUGAAUGCACCCUUCUGCACAAACCAUCCAUCAUCUAUACACCACUUAAUCCUCAUUAGGAGGGCUGGAGUCAGCUGACUAAGGGUGAAGGUUCACCUGGACAGGUAACAGUCUAUCACAGGGCUACAUAUAGAGACAAACAAUCACACUCACAUUCACGGACAAUUUUAGAAUCACCAAUUAACGUCAGCGUGUUUUUGGACCGGACUGUACAGUGGCUCAGUGGUUAGCACUGUCGUCUUGCAGCUGGAAGAUCCAAGGCUCGCGUCCCGGCCUUCCUGGGAUCUUUCUGCAUGGAGUUUGCAUGUUCUCUCUGUGCAUGUGUAGGUUUUCUCUGGGUUCUUCAGCUUCCUCCCACAGUCCAGAAACAUGCUGAGGUUAACUGGUCAUUCUAAACUGUCUGUAGCUGCGAGGCGACAGUGUGAACCACUGAUCCACGGUGCAGCCCUUUCUGCACAAACCUCUUUACAUGAAUAGAAAUGGAAUCAUUUUAGGAACAAACGCUUCAUUUGUCAUUCACUCUAGGAUGUAAACGCUUUGCUUGCAUUGUGCUUUAAUGCUUCAGGUGGGAAAGUAUUUUAACUCUGCAAGUCUAGAAGUGAGAGGAAACACUGAUUUAUCUUUUCCUCCUUGCAGAGACAGAAAAACAAGCAUGUGUCCUGAAUUAUCCAGAAAUAAAAAACACUGUGAAGGCAUCUGUUGUUGCCACUUUGGUUUCAGUUCUGAUGUAGUUGUUUGGUGUGUCUGUAUGUGGUGUUAGCAACCUGCUACGGAGCGCUAUUGUGCACACAGUUCACUAGCUGUAGUGCAGCGGCUUCGCAAAUACUGAAUCUGCAAAUCAAACAUUUGAAAUAACAUGCUGGGAGGGACGGCUGACCUGCCAAACACAGAGCGAGGCUGUUUGGAACAAAAGUGUCACAAAGGACGAAUUUAAAAAAAAAAAAAAAACCACACAUAUUUUGCACAGCGGUUCGUGGUUGUGUUGUUUAGCUUAUAAAAUGAGGAACCAGCAGUCCCCAGUCUCUCCUGAACUGUUGAUUGUGUGACAGAAAAUAGCGAUCAGCUCCCUGUUGGAUGUUUAUUGCAGAGUUUUUUUAAAUUACUUGGCAGUAAAACAACUUAAUGGAAAACGAAUACCAAGCAUAACAUCUUUUCCUUUUUUUACUCUGCCAAGGGAAUGGGGUGGAGCUAUGUGACAGUCACUGUACGUUUGUCCGUCUGUUUGUCUGCCUGUCUGUUUGUCUGUCUGGUGGUUUGUCUGUCUGUCUGUCUGUCUGUUAGCAACAUUACUUAAAAACAACGGGCCUUCCUCAGCUAACCAGAGUAAAUAAACGACCUUUUAACCAGCACCAAGUGGUCAGCUCAGCACUCUGAGUGGGUUAAAGUGGACGUGGGUGAAAUUUAACAAAGCAAAACCUGGAACCUGAAGGAACUUGAGCAACAGCGGUUUAUUAGUGCAAACAGAUAUUACUCGUGAGUAUCUGAUGUCCUUCCAGAGAUUAUAGUUGAUUGCCAACUUGAGCGGAGCUUUUUUUUUCUCAAACAUUGCAGCUGAAUUGGCUGCACAGUGGCUCGGUGGUUAGCACUGUCGCUUUGCAGCUAGAAGAUCCCUGGUUCACAUCCCGACUUUCCCAGGAACUUUCUGCAUGGAGUCUCCAUGUUCUCCUGCUGGGUUCUCCCUGGUUCUCCAGCUUCCUCCCACAGUCCAACAACAUGCUGAGGUGAACUGGUGAUUCUAAACCAGACCUGUGCAUCCUAUGGCCAGCAGGCCACAUCCGGCCCGCCGGACGACCCUGACUGGCCCGUAUGAGGUCAUUGGAAAAUACUAAAAGUCAUUGCAAAUAUAUAUCAUCACAAUACAUGCAAGCAAUACGCCUGCACUGCUUUUAUUUU
Molecule: long non-coding RNA, 4797 nt
Organism: Amphiprion ocellaris (clown anemonefish)
Lineage: Eukaryota; Metazoa; Chordata; Actinopteri; Pomacentridae
Exons: 3
Source: RefSeq, a predicted model, not a curated record